This 844-nucleotide ribosomal RNA is filed under the name Beltraniopsis longiconidiophora. RNAcentral describes it as "eukaryotic LSU rRNA". It matches the Rfam family "Eukaryotic large subunit ribosomal RNA", at positions 90 to 960 of the family's 3401-position model. Lineage: Eukaryota; Fungi; Ascomycota; Sordariomycetes; Xylariales. The record is from RNAcentral.
AGAGUGAAGCGGGAACAGCUCAAAUUUGAAAUCUGGCCUUCGGGUCCGAAUUGUAAUUUGUAGAGGAUGCUUUUGGUUAGGUACUUUCCGAGUUCCCUGGAACGGGACGCCUUAGAGGGUGAGAGCCCCGUACGGUUGGAUACCGAGCCUUUGUAAAGCUCCUUCGACGAGUCGAGUAGUUUGGGAAUGCUGCUCUAAAUGGGAGGUAAAUUUCUUCUAAAGCUAAAUACUGGCCAGAGACCGAUAGCGCACAAGUAGAGUGAUCGAAAGAUGAAAAGCACUUUGAAAAGAGGGUUAAAUAGCACGUGAAAUUGUUGAAAGGGAAGCGUUUAUGACCAGACUUUUUCCAGGCGGAUCAUCCGGUGUUCUCACCGGUGCACUUCGUCUGGUUGAGGCCAGCAUCGGUUUUCGUGGUGGGAUAAAAGUAGUAGGAAUGUGACUCCUCCGGGAGUGUUAUAGCCUAUUGUAUAAUACCGCCAUGGGGACCGAGGUUCGCGCAUCUGCAAGGAUGCUGGCGUAAUGGUCAUCAACGACCCGUCUUGAAACACGGACCAAGGAGUCGAACAUUUGUGCGAGUGUUUGGGUGUUAAACCCUCACGCGUAAUGAAAGUGAACGGAGGUGAGAGCCCUUACGGGUGCAUCAUCGACCGAUCCUGAUGUUUUCGGAUGGAUUUGAGUAAGAGCAUAACUGUUCGGACCCGAAAGAUGGUGAACUAUGCGUGGAUAGGGUGAAGCCAGAGGAAACUCUGGUGGAGGCUCGCAGCGGUUCUGACGUGCAAAUCGAUCGUCAAAUCUGCGCAUGGGGGGCGAAAGACUAAUCGAACCAUCUAGUAGCUGGUUACCG